GCAUUGGUGGUUCAGCAGUAGAAUUUUUGCCUUACACAUGAGAGACCCAGGUUUGAUUCCUGGCCAUUGCA
RNAcentral lists this transfer RNA (71 nucleotides) under Loxodonta africana (African savanna elephant). It matches the Rfam family "tRNA". From Rfam's summary of the family: Transfer RNA (tRNA) molecules are approximately 80 nucleotides in length. Their secondary structure includes four short double-helical elements and three loops (D, anti-codon, and T loops). Further hydrogen bonds mediate the characteristic L-shaped molecular structure. tRNAs have two regions of fundamental functional importance: the anti-codon, which is responsible for specific mRNA codon recognition, and the 3' end, to which the tRNAs corresponding amino acid is attached (by aminoacyl-tRNA synthetases). tRNAs cope with the degeneracy of the genetic code in two manners: having more than one tRNA (with a specific anti-codon) for a particular amino acid; and 'wobble' base-pairing, i.e. permitting non-standard base-pairing at the 3rd anti-codon position. Lineage: Eukaryota; Metazoa; Chordata; Mammalia; Proboscidea; Elephantidae. The record is from Rfam by way of RNAcentral.